AAAAGCAGAAAUAUCAGAGGAGAAAACUCACAACUGACUCGACUUCUCUCCUCAGCAUGGAGACCACAGCAGAUCCAGGAAACCGGUUCACUCACCAGCCUCAGCUGUCAGAGUCCGGCUGUGGAUCAGGGUUUGUCGAUCUUAUAACUCACACUGGUGCGUGAUGCACAGCUGACCUCGCUGCAGCUGAUGUAGGACGUCACCGCCGCCUCUGUGAGCUCAUCCAGGCUGAAAACGUCCCGGCCAGUCCAGUCCAGGUGGUUCGACCAGUUUGUUGCGACAUGAGAGAGAAAUAUUCCCAGGAACAGUGUGGAAACUGCUCCGACACGUUUCACUGAGCAGCUGAUGAGGGGAAAAACAAUCUUGUGGCGUUGUUCCCCUGAUGUUCAUUUCAAACUUAUUAUUUAUUUAUUCCCAUCGUAAAUUGUUAUGUUCUCAUUUCUGCAACUUCGUUAAUUGUGCUGCUGCCUGGAGGACUGGAGGACAGUCGUGGUUAAAUAAAGGUAUAAUAGUAUGAAAACGG
This is a long non-coding RNA of Micropterus salmoides (largemouth bass), 523 nucleotides long. RefSeq lists it as uncharacterized. The record is from RefSeq and is a predicted model, not a curated record. Lineage: Eukaryota; Metazoa; Chordata; Actinopteri; Centrarchiformes; Centrarchidae. The transcript has 3 exons.